UAGAUGCGAGAGUAGAGCAUAUCAAUAAGCGGAGGAAAAGAAACUAACAAGGAUUCCCUUAGUAACGGCGAGUGAAGCGGGAAGAGCUCAAAUUUGAAAUCUUCAAGGUUUUACCUUGACGAAUUGUAGUUUAAAGAAGUGUUUUCUGUUGAAGUUUUGGUAAAAGUUCUUUGGAACAGGACAUCAUAGAGGGUGAGAAUCCCGUAUUUGACCAUUAUUUUCAGCUGUGUGAUACACUUUCAAAGAGUCGGAUUGUUUGGGAAUGCAGUCCAAAAUGGGUGGUAAAUUUCAUCUAAAGCUAAAUAUUGGCGAGAGACCGAUAGCGAACAAGUACCGUGAGGGAAAGAUGAAAAGAACUUUGAAAAGAGAGUUAAACAGUACGUGAAAUUGUCAAAAGGGAAGCGUUUGACACCAGUGUUGUUUUCUCGAAAAUCAAUUACGAAUGGCUUGAUUUUGUGUUGUAUUGACCUUAUCAGCUUUCUGCACUUUUUUCGAGUCUUUCUUAAUGCACUUUUCGGUUAACAAGUCAACAUCAAUUUCUUUUGUUGUAAAAGAGUAUUCGGAAGGUGGCUUUCUUUUCGGAGAAAGUGUUUAUAGCCCUAUACUUCUACAAUCGGAGAGAUUGAGGUCUGCAGCGUAGAUCCUUCGGGGUUAGAUACACUUGUGCUAAGUUGUAGCUUUUCAUAGACAACUUGUUGACUAUGUUUAGUCAUGCGGCUUACUCGCUUAUGCUAUUUUACCUACGCUUAGGAUGUUGAGCGCAUGUCUCUCUCU
Molecule: ribosomal RNA, 774 nt
Filed under: uncultured Neocallimastigales
Lineage: Eukaryota; Fungi; Neocallimastigomycota; Neocallimastigomycetes; Neocallimastigales
Description: partial large subunit ribosomal RNA
Rfam family: Eukaryotic large subunit ribosomal RNA
Source: RNAcentral